AUACUUACCUGGCAGGGGAGAUACCAUGAUCAUGAAGGUAGUUUUCCCAGGGCAAGGCACUCCACGUGUGCUGAACCCUGCGAUUUCCCCAAAUGUGGGAAACUUGACUACAUAAUUUGUGGUAGUGGGGGAUUGCUUUUGCUCUUUCCACUA
This is a small nuclear RNA of Otolemur garnettii (small-eared galago), 153 nucleotides long. Its record names the gene U1. It matches the Rfam family "U1 spliceosomal RNA". Rfam says of the family: U1 is a small nuclear RNA (snRNA) component of the spliceosome (involved in pre-mRNA splicing). Its 5' end forms complementary base pairs with the 5' splice junction, thus defining the 5' donor site of an intron. The record is from Ensembl. Lineage: Eukaryota; Metazoa; Chordata; Mammalia; Primates; Galagidae.